CCGGUGCGCAGGAGACGGUUACUUCCGCUUCAGACGGAGAGGUUGCGGGUUCGAGUCCCGUCCGGACCA
RNAcentral lists this transfer RNA (69 nucleotides) under Nocardia bovistercoris. RNAcentral describes it as "Nocardia sp. NEAU-351 tRNA-OTHER". The record is from RNAcentral. Lineage: Bacteria; Bacillati; Actinomycetota; Actinomycetes; Mycobacteriales; Nocardiaceae.